Molecule: ribosomal RNA, 253 nt
Filed under: uncultured bacterium
Lineage: Bacteria
Description: partial 16S ribosomal RNA
Rfam family: Bacterial small subunit ribosomal RNA
Source: RNAcentral
UACGAAGGGGACUAGCGUUGUUCGGAAUCACUGGGCGUAAAGCGCACGUAGGCGGAUAUGUCAGUCAGGGGUGAAAUCCCGGGGCUCAACCUCGGAACUGCCUUUGAUACAGCAUAUCUUGAGUCCGAUAGAGGUGGGUGGAAUUCCUAGUGUAGAGGUGAAAUUCGUAGAUAUUAGGAAGAACACCGGUGGCGAAGGCGGCUCUCUGGACGGUGACUGACGCUGAGACGCGAAAGCGUGGGGAGCAAACAGG